This 556-nucleotide ribosomal RNA is filed under the name uncultured beta proteobacterium. RNAcentral's name for it is "bacterial SSU rRNA". It matches the Rfam family "Bacterial small subunit ribosomal RNA", at positions 887 to 1446 of the family's 1533-position model. The record is from RNAcentral. Lineage: Bacteria; Pseudomonadati; Pseudomonadota; Betaproteobacteria.
CGCAAGAUUAAAACUCAAAGGAAUUGACGGGGACCCGCACAAGCGGUGGAUGAUGUGGAUUAAUUCGAUGCAACGCGAAAAACCUUACCUACCCUUGACAUGUCACUAACGAAGUAGAGAUACAUUAGGUGCUCGUAAGAGGAAGUGAACACAGGUGCUGCAUGGCUGUCGUCAGCUCGUGUCGUGAGAUGUUGGGUUAAGUCCCGCAACGAGCGCAACCCUUGUCUUUAGUUGCUACGCAAGAGCACUCUAAAGAGACUGCCGGUGACAAACCGGAGGAAGGUGGGGAUGACGUCAAGUCCUCAUGGCCCUUAUGGGUAGGGCUUCACACGUCAUACAAUGGUGCAUACAGAGGGUUGCCAACCCGCGAGGGGGAGCUAAUCUCAGAAAAUGCAUCGUAGUCCGGAUCGUAGUCUGCAACUCGACUACGUGAAGCUGGAAUCGCUAGUAAUCGCGGAUCAGAAUGUCGCGGUGAAUACGUUCCCGGGUCUUGUACACACCGCCCGUCAUACCAUGGGAGUGGGUUUUGCCAGAAGCCGUUAGCCUAACCGCAAGG